AUUCAUCAGUCAAUUUCCGACACUUGGCCAGAGCGGUGGUACUAUUUAGAAAAUCCGGCAAACUUAAAAAUUGUUUUAAAAUCGUUUUAACUGAAUUAAUAUAAUCAAGAAAUAAAUCGCAAUGGCUGAAAAAGAAAUAAUAUCUAGUAGUGAAAACGGUGAGCAGUUUUUCGAGGGUGUCGAAAAGCUUAUUGAAAUAUGGUUUACGCCGGCCAAAAAUGCGGAUCUAAGAAAAAUAACUCGCCAACAAUGGGAGAAUGUGCUGAAAAUAGUCCGUUGCGAGAUCAUCUCCUUCACACAGAGCGAGCAGGUUGAUGCCUAUGUUCUAAGUGAGUCAAGCAUGUUCGUGUCCCGCCGCCGCUGGAUCCUCAAGACGUGCGGCACCACGACCCCGCUCCGCUGCGUGCGCUGCGUGCUGUCUCUGGCGCGCGACGUGGCGGCGCACGCGCAGGUGCAGAACGUGUUCUACUCGCGCCGGGAGUUCGCGCGCCCGCGCAGCCAGCUCAAGCCGCACCAUCACUUUGAUGCUGAGGUGGAGCUGCUGGACUCGUUCUUCGGCGACGGCUCGGCGUACAUCCUGGGCCCCGACCAGGACUGCUGGUACCUCUACACACUGCUGCCGCUAGAAGGCACAGUAGGCGCGCUCGAGAAGGAAGAGCGCGAGACCCGCCUCUCGGUCUCUGGACAGACACAGGAGCCGGACCAGACCAUCGAGAUCCUCAUGUCGGAGCUGGACCCUGAGGUCAUGGACAUCUUCACGCGCAAGCAUAGUGCGCACGCGCAGCAGGCGACUAGGGAGUCGGGCAUAGACCAGAUAAUCCCGGGCAUGGUGAUCGACGACUUCCUGUUCGACCCCUGCGGGUACUCCAUGAACGGAGUCGCCAAGGAUGGAGAUAAGGAUUUGCCAUCUGGUUGCUACAUGACGAUCCACAUAACCCCGGAGCGCGAGUGCUCGUACGUGUCCUUCGAGAGCAACGUCCCGGCGCGCUGCUACCACGCCCUGGCGGCGCGCGUGCUGGCCACCUUCCGCCCCGGCCGCGCCCUCCUCACUGUGCUGGCCACGCCGGUGUGUACCUUGUGUCUAGUGCUGUAGGGUCUAUAGUCGAGAGCAACGUCCCGGCGCGCUGCUACCACGCCCUGGCGGCGCGCGUGCUGGCCACCUUCCGCCCCGGCCGCGCCCUCCUCACUGUGCUGGCCACGCCGGUGUGUACCUUGUGUCUAGUGCUGUAGGGUCUAUAGUCGAGAGCAACGUCCCGGCGCGCUGCUACCACGCCCUGGCGGCGCGCGUGCUGGCCACCUUCCGCCCCGGCCGCGCCCUCCUCACUGUGCUGGCCACGCCGGUGUGUACCUUGUGUCUAGUGCUGUAGGGUCUAUAGUCGAGAGCAACGUCCCGGCGCGCUGCUACCACGCCCUGGCGGCGCGCGUGCUGGCCACCUUCCGCCCCGGCCGCGCCCUCCUCACUGUGCUGGCCACGCCGGUGUGUACCUUGUGUCUAGUGCUGUAGGGUCUAUAGUCGAGAGCAACGUCCCGGCGCGCUGCUACCACGCCCUGGCGGCGCGCGUGCUGGCCACCUUCCGCCCCGGCCGCGCCCUCCUCACUGUGCUGGCCACGCCGGUGUGUACCUUGUGUCUAGUGCUGUAGGGUCUAUAGUCGAGAGCAACGUCCCGGCGCGCUGCUACCACGCCCUGGCGGCGCGCGUGCUGGCCACCUUCCGCCCCGGCCGCGCCCUCCUCACUGUGCUGGCCACGCCGGACUCGCCGGGGGCGGAGGCGCUCCGCUCGCUGCAGAAGCGCGGCUGCAGCGGCUACAGCCAGCUCGAGACCACGCUGUGUCAGUUCUCCGGCUACGAGCUCCUGUACGCGCUGUACUCGCGCUUCCCCAGCUGAGGGGCCGCCCGCGCCGCGCCGCACUCACCCCGUAUAAAACCCAGACAUGAAGCAUUUCCACACCGCUCGUUGGACGACAUCCUGCAGUCCGCGAGAGACGCCAGCUGGACGCUGGAGCCCUACGCAGCGCGCCGCCGCCGGAAACUAGAGCCCAGCGCCGCAGAGCCCGGCGGAGAGCCCCAACAUGCCGGGGCCGUAGAGACCAAUCAUACCGGCAAUGAAAAUUCUAAGCUUUUAGAGCCUAGCAAUAUAAAGAUAGAGCCUGGUGGGGCUCUAGAGCCUAAUCAUGACAAGCUAGAGCCCAGUCGGGAUCUAGAGCCCAGUAAUGCCUCAAAGAUAGAGCCACCAGCGCGGCUGGAGGCGUGCGCGGACUCUGCGGCGGCGCGCUUCGUGCGGCGCCUGUGUCGGCUCUGUGACGUCACGUGACGUCGUCACACAUGGCUCUAACUCGCCCGCAGUAGCUAACGUAACAGUAGGUCUCUAAGAGCCUGUCCCUUAACCUUAGCCAAUUAAUGUUAAG
Molecule: non-coding RNA, 2406 nt
Organism: Plutella xylostella (diamondback moth)
Lineage: Eukaryota; Metazoa; Arthropoda; Insecta; Lepidoptera; Plutellidae
Source: RefSeq, a predicted model, not a curated record